RNAcentral lists this ribosomal RNA (253 nucleotides) under uncultured bacterium. RNAcentral's name for it is "partial 16S ribosomal RNA". It matches the Rfam family "Bacterial small subunit ribosomal RNA", at positions 524 to 776 of the family's 1533-position model. The record is from RNAcentral.
UACGGGGGGGGCAAGCGUUAAUCGGAAUUACUGGGCGUAAAGCGUGCGCAGGCGGCUUCGCAAGUCAGACGUGAAAUCCCCGGGCUUAACCUGGGAAUGGCGUUUGAAACUACGGAGCUGGAGUGUGGCAGAGGGAGGUAGAAUUCCACGUGUAGCGGUGAAAUGCGUAGAUAUGUGGAGGAAUACCGAUGGCGAAGGCAGCCUCCUGGGCCAACACUGACGCUCAUGCACGAAAGCGUGGGGAGCAAACAGG